Molecule: unclassified non-coding RNA, 240 nt
Filed under: Hevea brasiliensis (rubber tree)
Lineage: Eukaryota; Viridiplantae; Streptophyta; Magnoliopsida; Malpighiales; Euphorbiaceae
Source: RNAcentral
AACCAGUGAUUGUGCAAAAUGUUCUUGCACAUACAAGUGGUUUAAGCUGGGAACCAAUGGUUAUGUGGCGUGCAUUGUGUGAGGGCACUGAUUCCAAGAUCCUUACAAGUAUGUCGGAAGUGAAAGCUAUCGACUGUCUGGCCAAUUGUCAGGUUCCGAUCAAUACUCGAAAAUUUUUUAAAGGUUAUACGGAAGGCAGAAGGUAUGAAAAUCUUUGGCCUGAAAUGCUCAAACUUAAAG